GCCGGGCAUGGUGGCUCAUGCCUGUAAUCCCAGCAUUUUGGGAGGCCGAGGUGGGCGGAUCACCUGAGGUCAGGAGUUCGAGACCAGCCUGGCCAACAUGGUGAAACCCCGUCUCUG
Molecule: non-coding RNA, 117 nt
Organism: Gorilla gorilla gorilla (western lowland gorilla)
Lineage: Eukaryota; Metazoa; Chordata; Mammalia; Primates; Hominidae
Rfam family: Metazoan signal recognition particle RNA
About the family: The signal recognition particle (SRP) is a universally conserved ribonucleoprotein.
Source: Rfam